Molecule: long non-coding RNA, 527 nt
Organism: Nothoprocta perdicaria
Lineage: Eukaryota; Metazoa; Chordata; Aves; Tinamiformes; Tinamidae
Exons: 3
Source: RefSeq, a predicted model, not a curated record
ACAUGUGGCUUUGAGAUUAGUUGUAACAGAAGGACCUACACUUUGUUCCCAACCCUCUGCCUUUGAGUUUCCUUCCAGACUGUUGGAGCAUGUAGGGAGCCCCAGAAGAAACCUUUCUCCCUGAUUUAAGCAUAGGCUUCACAGAGUGACAAAAUUCCUUGGAAAGGUGGUGGCUGGGCAUCUUUGCAACUGCUGGAUGCUUCCCAGAGAGAGCAGCUUUGGGAAUUCCUGCUGACGGGAGAGAGGGAAAGGACUGACACGCAGCUUGGGGAGAGGAGGAAAUGCACCCUCCCCACAGAUACUUGGUGUCUGCGUCUUAAAUUCUCUCUCCUUGCAAAUAGUUCCCAGAAUGAUUCUUGCUUCACAGAGCCUUCCUGAACAAAACAUGAGGACAAGAUUUACACCCCAGGAGGAUCGAAGGGAGCUGGGAAAACUGAGCUAAGACAUAUGGAAACAUGACAGCAAUGCCCAAAUGGUAACUGGGUCAGAUUCCACAGAUCUGACCCAAGUGCUGAGGCUGUGGGUCA